Molecule: ribosomal RNA, 553 nt
Filed under: uncultured crenarchaeote
Lineage: Archaea; Thermoproteati; Thermoproteota
Description: bacterial SSU rRNA
Rfam family: Archaeal small subunit ribosomal RNA
Source: RNAcentral
AUGGGGUGCAGCAGGCGAGAAAACUUUGCAAUGUGCGCAAGCACGACAAGGUUAAUCCGAGUGAUUCCUGCUAAAGGAAUCUUUUGCUAGUCCUAAAAACACUAGCGAAUAAGGGGUGGGCAAGUUCUGGUGUCAGCCGCCGCGGUAAAACCAGCACCUCAAGUGGUCAGGAGGAUUAUUGGGCCUAAAGCAUCCGUAGCCUGCUCUGUAAGUUUCCGGUUAAAUCCAUUAGCUUAACUGAUGGGCCGCCGGAAAAACUGCAGAGCUAGGGAGUGGGAGAGGUAGACGGUACUCGGUAGGAAGGGGUAAAAUCCUUUGAUCUAUUGAUGACCACCUGCGGCGAAGGCGGUCUACCAGAACACGUUCGACGGUGAGGGAUGAAAGCUGGGGGAGCAAACCGGAUUAGAUACCCGGGUAGUCCCAGCUGUAAACGAUGCAGACUCGGUGAUGCCCUGGCUUGUGGCCAGUGCAGUGCCGCAGGGAAGCCGUUAAGUUUGCCGCCUGGGAAGUACGUACGCAAGUAUGAAACUUAAAGGAAUUGGCGGGGGAGCAC